Molecule: ribosomal RNA, 383 nt
Filed under: uncultured bacterium
Lineage: Bacteria
Description: bacterial SSU rRNA
Rfam family: Bacterial small subunit ribosomal RNA
Source: RNAcentral
UAAUACGUAGGGGGCAAGCGUUAUCCGGAUUUACUGGGUGUAAAGGGAGCGUAGACGAGGAAGGUGGGGAUGACGUCAAAUCAGCACGGCCCUUACGUCUAGGGCGACACACGUGCUACAAUGGCCGGUACAGAGGGCAGCUACGCCGCGAGGCGAUGCAAAUCUCGAAAGCCGGUCUCAGUUCGGAUCGGAGUCUGCAACUCGACUCCGUGAAGUUGGAUUCGCUAGUAAUCGCGCAUCAGCCAUGGCGCGGUGAAUACGUUCCCGGGCCUUGUACACACCGCCCGUCAAGCCAUGAAAGUCCGGGGUACCUGAAGUCCGUGACCGCGAGGAGCGGCCUAGGGUAAAACGGGUGAUUGGGGCUAAGUCGUAACAAGGUAACC